GCCAAUGAGGGAUCUGAAGGAAGCCUUAGUCAAAUUUGCCACUUAAACUCGGUGUGAACCUCUGGUAGGCUUCGUAGAGGGGUGAGGUGCCUAUGAUCACCGAAACCCGAUAUCCUUUUCGUAACUCUGCGGGGUAAAGGAGGUAGGUGGGCAAUGAAAGUGCGUGAU
This 168-nucleotide non-coding RNA is filed under the name Candidatus Electrothrix communis. Lineage: Bacteria; Pseudomonadati; Thermodesulfobacteriota; Desulfobulbia; Desulfobulbales; Desulfobulbaceae. The record is from RNAcentral.